GGCGUCGAGCGGCGGACGGGUGAGUAAUGCCUGGGAAAUUGCCCUGAUGUGGGGGAUAACCAUUGGAAACGAUGGCUAAUACCGCAUAAUAGCUUCGGCUCAAAGAGGGGGACCUUCGGGCCUCUCGCGUCAGGAUAUGCCCAGGUGGGAUUAGCUAGUUGGUGAGGUAAGGGCUCACCAAGGCGACGAUCCCUAGCUGGUCUGAGAGGAUGAUCAGCCACACUGGAACUGAGACACGGUCCAGACUCCUACGGGAGGCAGCAGUGGGGAAUAUUGCACAAUGGGCGCAAGCCUGAUGCAGCCAUGCCGCGUGUUUGAAGAAGGCCUUCGGGUUGUAAAGUACUUUCAGCAGUGAGGAAGGUGGUAGNGUUAAUAGCACUAUCAUUUGACGUUAGCUGCAGAAGAAGCACCGGCUAACUCCGUGCCAGCAGCCGCGGUAAUACGGAGGGUGCGAGCGUUAAUCGGAAUUACUGGGCGUAAAGCGCAUGCAGGUGGUUUGUUAAGUCAGAUGUGAAAGCCCGGGGCUCAACCUCGGAAUUGCAUUUGAAACUGGCAGNCUAGAGUACUGUAGAGGGGGGUAGAAUUUCAGGUGUAGCGGUGAAAUGCGUAGAGAUCUGAAGGAAUACCGGUGGCGAAGGCGGCCCCCUGGACAGAUACUGACACUCAGAUGCGAAAGCGUGGGGAGCAAACAGGAUUAGAU
Molecule: ribosomal RNA, 700 nt
Filed under: Vibrio sp. enrichment culture clone DMS06
Lineage: Bacteria; Pseudomonadati; Pseudomonadota; Gammaproteobacteria; Vibrionales; Vibrionaceae
Description: bacterial SSU rRNA
Rfam family: Bacterial small subunit ribosomal RNA
Source: RNAcentral